UCCGGCUUAUCACCGGCAGUCCCACUAGAGUGCCCAACUGAAUGAUGGCAACUAAUGGCAAGGGUUGCGCUCGUUGCGGGACUUAACCCAACAUCUCACGACACGAGCUGACGACAGCCAUGCAGCACCUGUCACCGGCCAAUUGAAGAGCCCUGUCUCCAGGGCCCCGACCGGGAAGUCAAGAGCUGGUAAGGUUCUUCGCGUUGCCUCGAAUUAAUCCACAUCAUCCACCGCUUGUGCGGGUCCCCGUCAAUUCCUUUGAGUUUUAAUCUUGCGACCGUACUCCCCAGGCGGUCUACUUCACGCGUUAGCUGCGUUACCGAAGGAGUUACCCUCCGACAACUAGUAGACAUCGUUUAGGGCGUGGACUAC
RNAcentral lists this unclassified non-coding RNA (372 nucleotides) under uncultured Pseudomonadota bacterium. RNAcentral describes it as "uncultured proteobacterium contains 16S-23S intergenic spacer region". Lineage: Bacteria; Pseudomonadati; Pseudomonadota. The record is from RNAcentral.